UAUAAAAAAAGAUGAGAUUCUCCGUUGAAAUAUGAAAAAGGACAGGAAAAAUUUUAAAAAUAUUUCUUCCGGGAAUUGGUUCCCCAAAAAAUUAAAAAUAAAAGAAUAUAAUCAUUCAUCAAACCCACAACAUUGACAGGCCCGGCCCGCUCCGCUUCCGAAGGCCUUUAGCCGCGUCUUUCGCCGCUUCCCGACAAUCCAUCCGCUCACAGGUUCCCCAAACCGUGUCCGAUCGAUCGAUUGUCGCCUCUGUCGGCGAAGGAACUCGUGCGACGGUGAAAUCGGAGAACAACAAGGGUGGUGAGUUGGGGGGCUCAAGAAUCGAGCAGAGGUGAGUCCUCGUCCUCCCCUUCUGGAGUUCGAGGUCUGCUACGAAGCGCAAUCCAAGUACAAGUUUCUCAGCUGCCUUGCCCCGUACUGUUCCUUGGCAUGCUUCAAGAGCAUAAAGCAAACUCAAGUGAUACGUGAGGCCUUAAAGGUUGGAAGCCUACGAAGAAUAAUACAGAAAAAUUGAUGGCAGUGAUGAUCUGGAAAAUGUAAUUGUUUGCCACCUUGAAAUCACUGUUGCC
This is a non-coding RNA of Musa acuminata subsp. malaccensis (wild Malaysian banana), 569 nucleotides long. NCBI's taxonomy places the organism in Eukaryota, Viridiplantae, Streptophyta, Magnoliopsida, Zingiberales, Musaceae. The record is from RefSeq and is a predicted model, not a curated record.